This 1358-nucleotide ribosomal RNA is filed under the name Escherichia coli. RNAcentral describes it as "partial 23S ribosomal RNA". It matches the Rfam family "Bacterial large subunit ribosomal RNA", at positions 248 to 1649 of the family's 2925-position model. The record is from RNAcentral. Lineage: Bacteria; Pseudomonadati; Pseudomonadota; Gammaproteobacteria; Enterobacterales; Enterobacteriaceae.
GGCGAGCGAACGGGGAGGAGCCCAGAGCCUGAAUCAGUGUGUGUGUUAGUGGAAGCGUCUGGAAAGGCGUGCGAUACAGGGUGACAGCCCCGUACACAAAAAUGCACAUAUUGUGAGCUCGAUGAGUAGGGCGGGACACGUGGUAUCCUGUCUGAAUAUGGGGGGACCAUCCUCCAAGGCUAAAUACUCCUGACUGACCGAUAGUGAACCAGUACCGUGAGGGAAAGGCGAAAAGAACCCCGGCGAGGGGAGUGAAAAAGAACCUGAAACCGUGUACGUACAAGCAGUGGGAGCCUCUUAAUGGGGUGACUGCGUACCUUUUGUAUAAUGGGUCAGCGACUUAUAUUCUGUAGCAAGGUUAACCGAAUAGGGGAGCCGAAGGGAAACCGAGUCUUAACUGGGCGUUAAGUUGCAGGGUAUAGACCCGAAACCCGGUGAUCUAGCCAUGGGCAGGUUGAAGGUUGGGUAACACUAACUGGAGGACCGAACCGACUAAUGUUGAAAAAUUAGCGGAUGACUUGUGGCUGGGGGUGAAAGGCCAAUCAAACCGGGAGAUAGCUGGUUCUCCCCGAAAGCUAUUUAGGUAGCGCCUCGUGAAUUCAUCUCCGGGGGUAGAGCACUGUUUCGGCAAGGGGGUCAUCCCGACUUACCAACCCGAUGCAAACUGCGAAUACCGGAGAAUGUUAUCACGGGAGACACACGGCGGGUGCUAACGUCCGUCGUGAAGAGGGAAACAACCCAGACCGCCAGCUAAGGUCCCAAAGUCAUGGUUAAGUGGGAAACGAUGUGGGAAGGCCCAGACAGCCAGGAUGUUGGCUUAGAAGCAGCCAUCAUUUAAAGAAAGCGUAAUAGCUCACUGGUCGAGUCGGCCUGCGCGGAAGAUGUAACGGGGCUAAACCAUGCACCGAAGCUGCGGCAGCGACACUAUGUGUUGUUGGGUAGGGGAGCGUUCUGUAAGCCUGUGAAGGUGGCCUGUGAGGGUUGCUGGAGGUAUCAGAAGUGCGAAUGCUGACAUAAGUAACGAUAAAGCGGGUGAAAAGCCCGCUCGCCGGAAGACCAAGGGUUCCUGUCCAACGUUAAUCGGGGCAGGGUGAGUCGACCCCUAAGGCGAGGCCGAAAGGCGUAGUCGAUGGGAAACAGGUUAAUAUUCCUGUACUUGGUGUUACUGCGAAGGGGGGACGGAGAAGGCUAUGUUGGCCGGGCGACGGUUGUCCCGGUUUAAGCGUGUAGGCUGGUUUUCCAGGCAAAUCCGGAAAACCAAGGCUGAGGCGUGAUGACGAGGCACUACGGUGCUGAAGCGACAAAUGCCCUGCUUCCAGGAAAAGCCUCUAAGCAUCAGGUAACAUCAAAUCGUACCC